Molecule: small RNA, 3718 nt
Filed under: Rattus norvegicus (Norway rat)
Lineage: Eukaryota; Metazoa; Chordata; Mammalia; Rodentia; Muridae
Description: uncharacterized LOC102554018
Source: RNAcentral
GUGGUGAGUUCUUUAACCAGCUAUCCCACUAGCCUUCCACUGUGUGUCCAUCACCGCUCCCAUUGCCCAUGGACAGACUCCAUUCCUCAGCCUUCUGACAUAUUUACACAGCAGUGGUUCUCCAGGGAGCUUCCAAGUCCUGAGAGUUGGACUGGGGCUGCCUCACUGCUCUCUCUUGUUCUAAGGCUUCCAGCAUCAGACACUGUGAAGGUACUUGGUGCUGACACCCACUGAUGGACUACCCAGCCUCCAGUUGUGUAAUUCGGCCUAAUAAAUUCCCCUUUACAUAAGUAACAGCCGGCUACUGAUGCUGUUUCUCUAAAGAAUCCUGGCUAACACACCGUCCCAACAGAUCACUAGUUGCAAAGACUGAACACAAGGUAGAAACAUAGAGUUAGCAAAGACCUGGAGCCAUAGCCACGCGGCCUUGCUACUUCUUUAUCCUAGCCACAGAGCUACAGGGAAGGCAGACAAAAAAGGAACCCUCUGGGUGCACUGUUUUGAUUCUGAACGGAGGCUGUGCCUUGUGGCUGCUCCCUGGUGGACAGCCAAACUCUGCCAGCCCCAGCUGAGAUACCACUUACCAGCUGGGGAUCUUCAGGGGCAGGGCCUGUGCAACAUGUUUACAAGCUGUGUGGCUAUUAGCAACAUCUUAUAGCUCCAGCUAAUUAACCGGAGAGUGGCUGAUGAAGCCCGGCUCUAAAGAGGGCCAAAUUGCAUCAGUGUUUGGGCUUAAAUUGAUACCAAAAAAAUAGCUCGCUCCAGGUGUGUUCCCCAGGCAGGUGGCUUGUUUGCUGAGCUUCACUUCCAGUAGGUCCCAAAGUGGCCAGGGUGUCAGGGUUAUGAGUUGAUUAAGGUCAUUUAAAUCGGCUAAGCGCUAAGUGUAGCUGGCGUUUCAGCCCACUGGUAAAGACUGUGUGUGUGCACCAACCUGGCAGAAUCUACCCCAGAAGCAUCCUGGACACUAGGUUACUACAAAGUGAAACGGGUAGAGACUCAUAAUAUAUUCCCAGCUUCCUCUCCAAGACACAUAUUUUCCUUUAAAACGCCCACAUUAUUCAAGCUGGGGGUAAAAGCUCCUCUUAUUUGAUCACGACAUCUCUUCAUGCUGGCAUUUCUAACUCAGUGUGAGUUGAGUUUCUUAAAAUUGUAUUUCUUUAAAAACACCCGUGAAUACUGUAGUAGUUGAAACUAGAAAUGGUCCCCCAUUGUCUUGAGCAUUUGACAAUUGAUCUUCCCCUAGUCGGUUGUGCUGUUUCGGGAGGUUCAGGUGACACAACCUUGCUGGAGGAAGUUACGUCACUGGGGGCGGGCUCUGAGAGUAAACAGUCUCCGCCACUUCCGGUUCAUUCUCCCUGCCCUGUGCGUAACCAUUCGAGACCUGAACUCUCAGCAUCCAGUUCCUGAGGCCAUGCUUGCUGUUUGCUGCCACUUCUUCCCACCAUAGGACUCUCGUAGGUACACUUUAUGAAGGACAAAAUAACCUGAAACUGAAUGAUCCUAGCAGAGGCAAGCCAAUGAGUCAGGGUAAAGUCGGUGUCCCCCAGCGAUUAGAGCAAUGGCAGCGUGUCGGUUGUCAGAUGUUCCGGCUCGAUGAAGGAUCAGGGGGAUUUGGGGUCAUUCUCAGCACCAUCCAGAAGAUCCCAGUAUCCACCGGGAAGCCCAUCAGAUACCAAGAUCAGUUCCUGGGAAGAUAAGUUCCCAGGGAGGCAACAUGCCAAUACUAGUGGUUACUAUUGGGCAAUUGGUAAGAUAUCAAUUGCGGUGACUUUCACCUUUUAAGAACUAUCUUUUUAAACCGUUAAAAAGCAGAUCCUGCCCUGCUUUCUAACAACAAUGACUACAACAACAACUUUGGUUUCAGGUCGCCCUUGGGCUAUUGGUUCUAUCCCACUUUGAGUAGUGAUAGAAGAAGACUUUGAAUCUGUCACUUCUUCCCCCGGGGCUGGUGAUAACUGGGUGACCAGAAGUCACAAAGGAAGAUGGAAAGCGCCCAAUGGCAGUCUCCAGCUCCUGCACUGAGAGGUUGCUGGACCUGUCUUACUUGGGGGACACUUUGAGAGAGGAGGGAGUGGGGGCACAGACCAGAUAUGUUAACUAGGAGACACUGAGGCCACUGGUCCACACAAGGAGCACAUUCGAGACAGCCAAGUGCUAGACAAACCUGACAGCAGCCAAUAACAGCAGCUGACACUUCUUAACUAGAAACAACCACUGUGCUGCCGAAACUGUACCUGUGUUUUAUACGGUCAUCUGUUUAAUCUCUUCCUUAGAAUUCAUGAAGGGAGAAGACAGCCUUGUACAAAGUAAGUAAUGAGGGAAGUCAUGCGGCCUGUAAGAAGUAGUUAAACUUCAAACCCAUGUCCUUUCGACUGUUUUGAUGACUUUGUAAAUGCCGACUUGGGUGACAUAGAAUCUACUGAGGAGAGAGGGAUUGCCUAGAUUAGGUUGGACUCUGGGCAGGUCCUGGGGAUUGUCUUGUUUGUUAACUGGUGUUGACAGACACAGCCCACUGUGGGCGGCACUUAUCCCUUAGGCAGGGAGUCCUGAACUACAUGGGACAGGAGAAAGCUAGAGAAAGCAAGCGGGCAGCACAAGGACAUUUGCUCUCUCUGACAUUAACUUUGUAUGUGUGGAUAGCUGUUUUAAAUCCCUGUCUUGAUUUCUCCUCAGUAAAGAAAGGCAGCCUGGAACUGAAAACAGAAAUGAACCCCUUCCCUCCCCCAAGGUACAUUUGGUCAGGAUAAUUCAUCACAGCAAUGGGCAUGAAACUAUAAGAGCUGCUUGAUUCUUUGCUCCUGCUGCUUUUUUAAAAAGUUUUAUACUAGUGCAUAUUUAUUCCACAUGACAAGAGGAUUCAUGAUGACAUUCCGUGCAUGUAUGUUGCAUCAUCCUGGUUGUUUUCAGCAUCACACCAAGUCCUUUCAAACAGCGGAACAGAUCUCUGGCCCUGUCUCAAUGAAUGGGGACUUCGGGACACUUCUUGGGCCAAAUUACCACUCAUCCCAUGGACUCUAGCUCCCUGUUUCUAUAGCCUUUUCUCUAGAAGAAGAUCUCAGCCAUACUGGGAUGCUGAUGAUAAUUGAAAUUCAGAAGAAGUCAUGAAUCAAAGCAACAUGUAGCCAUUGCCUUGAGCUGGUAUAAUCUAAACCCAAACCCUGUCUGGUCAUAUCUCAGCCCCCUUGACCCUUCGUGCUACAGGUGAUCUGAAUGAAACUCUCCUGUCUUCCCAGAAGGAUAACAGCGAAGGGUAAAACAAUUGAACACUUUCUAGAGGCUUCUGGCCUUAGAGCUUCCUGGAAGUCCCAGUGAAGGUAGAAUGGUUUUCGUAACUGUUGCAGUUGGUCUGCUUGCUGUCUUACCCUCAGGCCAUGGUUACAUGUAGUUUUCCUGUGGUAGUUUGUAAUUGGCACCCGUAGGCCCAUAGGGAAUGAUACUAUUAGGAGGUGUGGCCUUGUUGGAGUGGGUGUGGCUUUGUUGGGUGGGUGUGGCCUCGUUGGAGAGUAAGUGUGUCACUGUAGAGGUCGGCUUUGGGGUCUUACAUAUGCUCAAGCCAUAGCCAGUGGAGCAGUCUCCUGCUGCCUUCGGAUCAUGGCGUAGAACUCUCAGCUCCUCCUGCAUCAUGUUUGCCUGCAUGCCACCAUGCUUCCCACAGUGACGAUAAUGGACUGAGUUUCUAACAUUGUAAGCCAGCCCCAAUUACAUGUCCUUUAUAAGA